UCGUUAAACGGUUUGGGCCAACGAUCAAAAAUGGCGCUUCCCCUUUACCUCAGUAAUGUCUUUGCUGUAGUUCCUCCGCUUGCAAACCCUAAUUCCCAAACCCUCAGAUUCCCCUCCAAUCCAACGUGUAAACCCCUCUUCUGCACUUCCACCACAAAGACGCACCGCCAGCGUCGGAGACUCUCCUUUAUACUUAAUCAAUCAGACAAUGACUCCGAGCAUCGUAAGCUACAGGAAAAAGAGGUGAACAAUCCAGGGGUUAAAGCAGCAUUAUCUAUGCUCAGAUUCUACAAAAGGGAGAUCUCGCCAUUGCUGCCGAAUAGUUGUCGAUAUGUUCCAACAUGUAGUGAGUAUUCCAUGAUUGCCUAUCAGAAGUAUGGAGUCGUCAAGGGGACCAUCUUGACUGCUUGGCGUCUGUGUCGCUGCAAUCCUCUCGGUGGGUCUGGAUUUGAUCCUCCAAGAUGGUUUGGUGAGGAAAGCACACUAGAUCAGUCAGACGAUUACUAGCCAGAAAUCCAAAGAAUCCAAACUAAAACUGGCAAUAGUUGUCAAAGAUGCACCUAAGGCACGCCUAAGCUUGAGGCUUAGUUGAGAGCGCCUUGCUCUAUGAGGCACGUCUUGCUCUAAGAUCUAAAAUCACAUCAAUUGGUGAUUUUGUAUAUAAAUCAAGCUGACAGUCGAGUGACAGCAAUCUGAGUGCCUAGAGAUGUUCAUGCAGCACUCAUGAGAUGAAAGACACAAUGAGGUGAACACAAGGUUCCUUUGCAGCUUGUCUUGGAACCAUAUGCUGAGAUGGUAUGCAUCUAGUUUCUAUUAAAGUCAAGAUAGCUGAGCAUAACUCGAGCGUGGAUCUGGAUUCUGGCCAAUCGGCAUUCUUGUCAGCUUCAAAGGCAGAUCUUUAAUUGGGAGUUGUUCAACAAUCUUUCCGUUGUGUGGUGGCUGUGGACUUCAACUUCCAAACACAGCCUGGUUUUUUAAGCAACCCCAUGUUAAUUAAGGUAAGGACCACUUACCAUACAUAGGAAGAUGUAUUAAUAAUAAGUAAUUGCCAUGAUGUAAUGAAAUGUCCACCCAGGAUUUAUAGUAUUUUAGACAGCUGGGUCGAAGCUUUUUCCUUAUUCUAUUUCAGAUUUAAAAUGCUCUCUUUAUUUUUACUUGA
RNA transcript from Diospyros lotus (date-plum), 1159 nucleotides. It is a transcript of the gene named UPF0161 protein At3g09310, with no coding region annotated. Lineage: Eukaryota; Viridiplantae; Streptophyta; Magnoliopsida; Ericales; Ebenaceae. The transcript is spliced from 7 exons. The record is from RefSeq and is a predicted model, not a curated record.